AGUGAACGCUGGCGGCGUGCCUAAUACAUGCAAGUCGAACGAACGAAUAAGAGCUUGCUCUUAUAAGUUAGUGGCGCACGGGUGAGUAAUAUAUAGCUAAUCUGCCUCUUAGUAGAGGAUAACAGUCGGAAACGAUUGCUAAUACUCUAUACUUCUGCUUUACAUAAGUAAAGUAGAGAAAGUUUUUCGCUAAGAGAUGAGGCUAUACUGUAUCAGCUAGUUGGUAAGGUAACGGCUUACCAAGGCUAUGACGCAUAACUGGUCUGGGAGGAUGAUCAGUCACAUUGGAACUGAGACACGGUCCAAACUCCUACGGGAGGCAGCAGUAGGGAAUAUUGCGCAAUGGGGGAAACCCUGACGCAGCAACGCCGCGUGGAGGAUGACACUUUUCGGAGCGUAAACUCCUUUUAUCGGGAAAGAAUAAUGACGGUACCCGAUGAAUAAGCACCGGCUAACUCCGUG
This 462-nucleotide ribosomal RNA is filed under the name uncultured bacterium. RNAcentral describes it as "partial 16S ribosomal RNA". It matches the Rfam family "Bacterial small subunit ribosomal RNA", at positions 29 to 507 of the family's 1533-position model. The record is from RNAcentral.